GUUUGAAUGAUGACUCAAAUUGUCGGAUACCCCUUCACCCCGUUCAUGGGUGAAAAACAGUAGUCUGACAAAC
RNAcentral lists this small nucleolar RNA (73 nucleotides) under Nannospalax galili (Upper Galilee mountains blind mole rat). RNAcentral describes it as "Small nucleolar RNA SNORD101 (ENSNGAG00000003755.1)". It matches the Rfam family "Small nucleolar RNA SNORD101". Rfam says of the family: snoRNA U101 is a member of the C/D class of snoRNA which contain the C (UGAUGA) and D (CUGA) box motifs and guide the 2'-O-methylation of rRNA and snRNAs. The precise target of this family is unknown. The record is from Rfam by way of RNAcentral. Lineage: Eukaryota; Metazoa; Chordata; Mammalia; Rodentia; Spalacidae.